This is a long non-coding RNA of Theobroma cacao (cacao), 698 nucleotides long. RefSeq lists it as uncharacterized. The record is from RefSeq and is a predicted model, not a curated record. Lineage: Eukaryota; Viridiplantae; Streptophyta; Magnoliopsida; Malvales; Malvaceae.
CUUGUUCUUUAAAGCGGCUAAACCCCUAAUCUCUUUAUUUCCUAAUCGAAGCAUUUCCUGUUUCCACUUCCCCUCAAUCGGCACCAAAUUUUGUAUUUUUUUCUUAAAUUUCUUCACUGAUUAUUUCUCAUUUUGAUGUUCGCUUGAGAAAAAUCUUUUCUUUUUCAAUGGCGAUUUCUUUCUCUUUUUCUUGGUUUUUUUUUAAAUGAAUCCCUAUGAAGAAUUAAUCCCAGAAGUAAAGUAAAAGUAGUGGACCGAUUUAUUUCCAUUGACGAAUAUCCAAUUCCGAGGGAUGAUUAACAUUUCAGCUGGCUGUAGAAAUGGACAUUCUUGGCUAUUUUGACAUUCUUGACUAUUUUGAUAAUGGAGAUUUGUCAAUUUGGUUGAGCAAAUUCAUAGGAAAAAGAUUGAAAGAAUCCAACUCGUGCGCCGGAGGCCGGAGAACAACGGCCAGAGAAGUUUUUCAGUUGUGAAAGAGUGGAUGUAUGAUGCUAGAAAUGUAGAAAGUGUUAAAACAGCUCAAGAAUUUUGCUGUCUAUAUGAUGUAUUUUGUUCAUUCUAUUUGAUGUAGAAAGUGUAAAAGUUUAAUAUUGGUAUGCAAAUUGCAUAAGCUUUUUUUUAUUAUUAUUUUGAAGAGCACAAAUUGCUUAAGAUUGAGAUGCAAAUUGAGAAAAUGAUUCUUUCCCUCUUCCGUUGGA